Molecule: ribosomal RNA, 432 nt
Filed under: uncultured bacterium
Lineage: Bacteria
Description: bacterial SSU rRNA
Rfam family: Bacterial small subunit ribosomal RNA
Source: RNAcentral
ACAAUGGACGAAAGUCUGAUGGAGCAACGCCGCGUGAGUGAAGAAGGGUUUCGGCUCGUAAAACUCUGUUGUUAAAGAAGAACAUAUCUGAGAGUAACUGUUCAGGUAUUGACGGUAUUUAACCAGAAAGCCACGGCUAACUACGUGCCAGCAGCCGCGGUAAUACGUAGGUGGCAAGCGUUGUCCGGAUUUAUUGGGCGUAAAGCGAGCGCAGGCGGUUUUUAAGUCUGAUGUGAAAGCCUUCGGCUCAACCGAAGAAGUGCAUCGGAAACUGGGAAACUUGAGUGCAGAAGAGGACAGUGGAACUCCAUGUGUAGCGGUGAAAUGCGUAGAUAUAUGGAAGAACACCAGUGGCGAAGGCGGCUGUCUGGUCUGUAACUGACGCUGAGGCUCGAAAGUAUGGGUAGCAAACAGGAUUAGAUACCCUGGUAG